UUUCCUACGGGGGGCAGCAGUGGGGAAUAUUGGGCAAUGGGGGAAACCCUGACCCAGCGACGCCGCGUGAGGGAAGAAGGUUUUCGGAUUGUAAACCUCUGUCCUUGGUGACGAUAAUGACGGUAGCCAAGGAGGAAGCCACGGCUAACUACGUGCCAGCAGCCGCGGUAAUACGUAGGUGGCAAGCGUUAUCCGGAUUUAUUGGGCGUAAAGCGAGCGCAGGCGGUUGCUUAGGUCUGAUGUGAAAGCCUUCGGCUUAACCG
RNAcentral lists this ribosomal RNA (263 nucleotides) under uncultured bacterium. RNAcentral describes it as "partial 16S ribosomal RNA". It matches the Rfam family "Bacterial small subunit ribosomal RNA", at positions 335 to 615 of the family's 1533-position model. The record is from RNAcentral.